CCAAUCCAAGAAGCCUGGACUGCAGUCACCAUCUCAACACACCAACCAAGAGAAAGGCGGAUGGCUCAAUUCAAUAUGGAAAAUUGCACAAUAAAAGUUCCAGGACAUGAAGGCUGCAUACUGUGAACGUCAACCUUCAGGGCACCGUCCUGCGCAGAAGACUUUCUACCCUAAGAGGGAUGGCUGACCGCAAACACUCACAACCAGCACAGACGCCUCCAACCUCAAACUAGGCCCUUCACAGUUGCUGCACUUACCCACCUUCCCAGAGUUUUUGUGUGGUAAUGACAACUGUAAAUAUAGUAUAAAGUAAUGUAUCUAGUGUCAUGUGUAAUCAUUGUUUAAAUUGUCCAUACAUUUCAAUGACAGUAAAUAUUGGUGGACACAAUUUG
Molecule: long non-coding RNA, 392 nt
Organism: Engraulis encrasicolus (European anchovy)
Lineage: Eukaryota; Metazoa; Chordata; Actinopteri; Clupeiformes; Engraulidae
Exons: 3
Source: RefSeq, a predicted model, not a curated record